This 70-nucleotide transfer RNA is filed under the name Thryssa dussumieri (Dussumier's thryssa). RNAcentral's name for it is "tRNA-Pro". It matches the Rfam family "tRNA". From Rfam's summary of the family: Transfer RNA (tRNA) molecules are approximately 80 nucleotides in length. Their secondary structure includes four short double-helical elements and three loops (D, anti-codon, and T loops). The record is from RNAcentral. Lineage: Eukaryota; Metazoa; Chordata; Actinopteri; Clupeiformes; Engraulidae.
CAAAGAGUAGUUUAAAUUCAGAAUGCUAGCUUUGGGGGUUAGCGGCGGGAGUUUGAAUCUCUCCUCUUUG